UACGAAGGGGGCUAGCGUUGCUCGGAAUCACUGGGCGUAAAGCGCACGUAGGCGGAUUUCUAAGUCAGGGGUGAAAUCCCGGAGCUCAACUCCGGAACUGCCCUUGAUACUGGGAAUCUCGAGUUCGGGAGAGGUGAGUGGAACUGCGAGUGUAGAGGUGAAAUUCGUAGAUAUUCGCAAGAACACCAGUGGCGAAGGCGGCGCACUGGCCCGAUACUGACGCGGAGGUGCGAAAGCGUGGGGAGCAAACAGG
RNAcentral lists this ribosomal RNA (253 nucleotides) under uncultured bacterium. Its description in RNAcentral is "partial 16S ribosomal RNA". It matches the Rfam family "Bacterial small subunit ribosomal RNA", at positions 524 to 776 of the family's 1533-position model. The record is from RNAcentral.